RNAcentral lists this transfer RNA (73 nucleotides) under Bdellovibrionales bacterium. RNAcentral's name for it is "tRNA-Phe". It matches the Rfam family "tRNA". From Rfam's summary of the family: Transfer RNA (tRNA) molecules are approximately 80 nucleotides in length. Their secondary structure includes four short double-helical elements and three loops (D, anti-codon, and T loops). Lineage: Bacteria; Pseudomonadati; Bdellovibrionota; Bdellovibrionia; Bdellovibrionales. The record is from RNAcentral.
GCCCAGGUAGCUCAGUCGGUAGAGCAGAAGACUGAAAAUCUUCGUGUCGGCGGUUCAAGCCCGUCCCUGGGCA